Molecule: unclassified non-coding RNA, 1287 nt
Filed under: Hevea brasiliensis (rubber tree)
Lineage: Eukaryota; Viridiplantae; Streptophyta; Magnoliopsida; Malpighiales; Euphorbiaceae
Source: RNAcentral
GAAAAAGACUUUCCCCUGACAAAACCGGCUCGGGAAUCCAUCCGAGUUGAAUCAAGAACUGAUUACAAAAUUCUUGGUAGUCCAGGAAAUGAUAAUGCUGAAUGCAAACAUAUCGAGACCAGUCAAGUUCAACCUGAGCUACUUAAAUCUUCUGCAACUGCUAGUCUCUUACUAAUAUCUCCAGUGCUCAGCAGCAACUCAUCAUCUAUGUCCAAUGGACAUCAAGUUCCUUCCACUACGGACACUCCCAAUUUCUCUACAAUUGUAGGACGAACAUUGCAGAUUGAAGCUCCUCUAAUGAGCAGCUCACAAGAGAAACCUAAACCAGCUCUGGAAAUUCAUAGACCUGUCUUAAAAUUGCCAUCUGACACUGUAAAAGGACCUUUCCCUGCGCCUGAUGAUGAUGAUCUUCCUGAAUUUGACUUUGGAGCUGCAUGCGGUAUUUCACCUGCUUCAGGAAGCAAGCUGUUAGAUGCUGCAACAAUUGACAAGAAACUUCCAGCUGAAAAUUUUAUGAAAAUUAAUAGGACAUUGCUGUCCAUGGUGCCAAAUAUGCAGUCAAUGCCAGCUUCCAAUCAAAGGGGACAUGGAGAUUUUGGUUUGGGAAGGCUUCCACAUGAUGCUGUUCAGAGGAUGCGUCUGCAAAAUGAAGUUCGUGAAUAUGACAAGACUCUAGCCCUUCCAAAUUCAGAAGAAAAACAUGCUGCCAAAACUAGCUUACCAGUUAGCACUGCUGAUGUUCUCCAAUCCAAAAAUCUUUUUGAUGAUGAUGAUGAUAUGCCUGAAUGGUGCCCACCAAAUGCAAAGCUGCACAGGCAAGUGGUUCCUGAAACAGGUAUGCCAUCAAGAGCUAUUAUAUCCUCUAAAAUUUUGAACUCAACUUUUGAAGGUUUCCCUUGUGGCCCUGCUAGUCACCUCUUCCCUUCUCCAUCUCCUGGUGUCUAUCCGCCUUUCUUUUCCCAAAAACUCACCCUUAUCAAGGGUCAGAAUGUGAAACCAGUACCACCAAGACCCUGUAAUGGAGACAUGCUACAAGGUCACAAUCCCUUUAUGGGAUUCAGUUCUAACUCUCUUUUGAGACCGCCUCUCAACCCAUUUGAUGCUAAACUUCCAGUCCGUCCUGAUGGUCGAAGUAGUUGGAGACCCUGAUAUUUAGAGAAGGCAUCAAAUUUCCUUGAGGUUUUGAAUUAGCAUUGCAGAAGUUCGAACAUUGUACAUAUCCUUCUGCAGACAGACGGAAGUUUGCUUUAAUAGUUCUGUGAAUUUGUAUAUUAACUUUUAACAGUA